CCACUAAGACGUACACAGGCGGGAGGGCACAAGCACAGAAGAGAGGAAGAGCUACCAAAUCUAUAUCUAUAUCUAUAUCUAUAUUCUAUAUUCUAUAUUCUAUAUCUUCUUAAUGAGCGCAAUGCCCAUUUAGCUCUUUACCCAUAUUUUACCCGAUUCACAGUGUUAAUCAUCAGCUCAGCGUGACCCGUUUAGACAACAUAUAACUGGAAUAUAACCGGAUUCGCAUGCUCCUUCGUGACCUUUGCAUUUAUGACAUACUCCGAUGCUGCCUUCCUCGCGCGCAAUCUGUGUAGAAUCAAAUCAGUGUCUUCGACCUAAAUUCUUCAAUCGCAUUCAAGGCUGGCAUAUCAAUUUCUCUAAUCUACACGAAAGAAUCGGUAAUGAGGCUCAGGUUCUUUCAAAUUUCAAAAUUACUAUCAGUGGUAAUUUUCGUCCCUGCUCUUUAGCCGCUUCAUCUCUCCACUCUCUCUCUCUCUACAAAUCAGAUGGAACCUAAGAAAAAAAAAGGCACUUCCCCAUCUACGAAGCGAGCUAAAUCUGGCGGUGGCAAACAGAAAAAGAAGCACCUCACACUUUGGAGCAAAGUAUUCAUCCGAGUUUAUUUACCGGAUAUUUGGCAGAUUUCCUGAUUUUUCAUCGAGUUUGGUAGAAUUUAGUCUGUGUAUUUUUUUUUUUAACAGCUACAUUCAUUUGGAGCUUGCGUAUAUUAUGGUUACAUUUAAAGUCUUCUUAUUUUUGUAUUAGCAGCUCUGUGCCAUAUAUUUCCCUGAUUUGCUCCGUCUGUUGCUGGAUUUAUUGCAGCGUAUAAGAAUAUGUUUAACAGCUAUCUUUGUGCAUAGUAAAUUUUAAGAUAUAGUUGUUGGAUAGUUUUUUAUGUACAUAUCUCACAUCAAUUUUAAUAAUAUGUUUAAUAUGCUCUUACACUACUCUUGGAACACAUUGGAGGCCGUCAAUGGGUGGAUUUGUAUAAACUGACGUUUUCCAUUCCCACAAAAACUUAAUAUGUUCUUAAUAAUUGUUAGUGGAGCAAGGAUUUUGUAUUGAAAAAAGCAUGACCUAUCCAAAAAAUAAUCGCAUUAUACCCAUAUUUUUUUUACCCCAUUAUUGCUUUUACCCGGUGCUCUGCUGAGCUCUGCUAUCCAUUCUCAUUUUCUCUGUUUUUAGGCCACUGAAAUUAAUGAUGUUGUUUUUUAUGUUCCAUAAUACUUUAAAUGCAGACACACAAACAAUCAUGGAGUCCAAGCAAACUUUUCAUUCUAGGCCAGAACAUGGGAAUGUGAAUACAGGAAAACUAUCAGUGGCAGAAAUCGUUAUACUCAAUGUAAGGAUGUGAAGGUUGUUCAGCAAUAGAAGGUCGGGUGACAUUCUGAUGAAGCAAAGGAGCACAACUGGUCUCACUGACCUGGAACUUACUGAAGUUGACAUACAGAAUUAAUAUCUAGCAGCUGUGUGCCAUAUAUUUGAUUCAAGAACAAACUGGAACAGGACCUGCUAAUAAGAGUUAAUGAGACCAAGGCUUGAGGAAGUAAAUUGAUGGAUAUUAGAGAAGUCAUAAUGCGAAGUAGAUUGUUUGUGGAAAACCAGACAUAGCAAACAACAGAGGCUGGACAGAAUUUCAGAUGAUGGCAUCGGAGUAUAAGGCAGAGAUUCACCAUAUUCUUGAAAACUCUCUCCUUGAUCUUCCCUAAACUCAUUAAUUAUUAAUCUGGAUUUGAAAUUUACAUAGGUUAAGUUUUUAUAUAUUUGAAAGCCAUGGAAUUGAACCAAAUUUAGAUCCAUUUUAUUCUUCAAAAUUUAACAUGCCAAUUAAAUGAUAUGUUUGUAUAUUAAUAUGUCAUUACUGUAUAAGGUGAAGAGAUCAUCUUUGUAAGUCAAUUGUUGAUGAAUAUAUUAUGUGAUUUGUAACUUGCUUAUAACUGUAGAAAUAUGGUUCCUCUGCCCUUUAUCAUACUCUACUUGAAAAGGUUUGCAACUUUCCUCGCUGGGAGGAACCAGUCUGCAUCUCAAUUGCUUGACAUGUUAUUCAAGAGAGCAAAGGGAGAAGGCUGGCCCUUUGAUAUAUUUUGAAUGGCUCGGCCUGAUGCUGUUUGUAAUUGUCCCUUUCCCUGGUACAGGCCCUUGGACAGGAGCCAUAAUUGCUUCUGUUCUUAGACAUGCCAUUCUGGUCUGCUGUCUCGGCACACUUUUUUGGUGUUGUCCUGGCUGGCUUUUUGGUGAACUUGCUGGUGAAUCUUGGCCUGAAGUAUGAUGUACUUACUGGCUCUGGCCUCCAAACUAUGUAAAGGCUAAAUGUUGAUGCAUCCCUUUACCAUGCUAAGUUGGUAGGCUACUAUACUGGGUUGGUAGGCAUGGGGUAAUAGCACGAUUAUUUAGUGGAGAAAUCAUGUUUGCAGCUACCAGAAGAGAAUGAACAUAACAGCUUCUGGAGGUUGCAUACUAUGGGGACAACAUUGAGAAAGAGUAGGAUAUGAGUUACACAGCAGACACUGACAUUUGCUGUGAAAGCGGCAGGGGAAGGCAUCCCUGAGCUGGCUAGAGAAGCAACAUACAUCUUUAUCUGGUGCUUAACUCGACACUCUGAUUGUUAUAAGCAGUGGGAGAAUAUCUGUUUGGAUAAUCUAGAAGCAAGUCUUUUGAUAGGGGAAAAGCUUACGGAGGAGGGGAGGCAACUUUGAGCAAAUCGAUCAUCUCUGGAAGGUCUAGGGGAAACUCUUAAGAGUUUGAGGCACAAGAACAAUCUCAAGGUGCUCAUCAUUCCCUCUUUAAGGAUGCUGACAAAUAUUGUAAGUGGCUGAUCGGAAAGAUAUCCCGAGGAAAUGUUUGCAUGAAAAGUUUGGCCAUUGUCAUAAUUGCCCGUGGAGUGGGUACUGUUAUGUCCGCCACCAUCGAGUCUUUGGAUUGGAAGCAACUUUCCGUCUUCUUCAACCAGCAAUCCUUCUUAACCAGGUAAAGAAGCAAAUUUGCAGCCAGGAGGUAUCCAGGACCUGCAACAUUGAUCCAUAAUGAUAUUGACAUCAAACAGAACAAGUUCCGCUUCAAUAAAAAGUAUGAGAUGUCUGAGAUGCUCUUGGGUGAAUUAUGAACCCUUCGAAUAUAUAAAUAGUUGAGAGAAGAUAGACUUGGGUUUUAAUAUCUGAUGAAAAUAUAAUAAUGGUGGUUUAUGGCAUGAACUUUUAGUACUUUUCGGAUACAUAGAUGUUUAUAUAUAAAUUCUGGAAUAUUUUGUUUUUUUUA
This is a long non-coding RNA of Daucus carota subsp. sativus, 3237 nucleotides long. RefSeq lists it as uncharacterized. The record is from RefSeq and is a predicted model, not a curated record. The transcript has 11 exons. Lineage: Eukaryota; Viridiplantae; Streptophyta; Magnoliopsida; Apiales; Apiaceae.